GGGGAAAAAAGUUAGUAAAAAGUUAAUGUAUGCUUCUUUGCUUGCAGUUGUUGAGAUGAAUUGCAAUAAUAAAAUCAUGGAUAACUACAAUGAAUAAACGUGGAGGUAAUGUUAGGCUCCAAAGGGACCAAAACCCAUUUCAAGUUCAGCUCAACUCAACUCCUCCAAUGGAGAUCAAGAAGCUUAGCUUUUAUGCGAAGAAUGAUGGUAAGGGCACGUGUGAAGGUGGAGCGUAAGGAGAGAGUCCCAAAGUAGCAGGAAGCUAAGGGGGGAUAGUCUCUGCACUGCUUUUGAUAUGGACGGGACUGUUAUGCAGCAGUGAAGAACCUUAUAGAACGGAAACCGCGGAUGUUUUCGCUGAUAUGGGUGUUGAAGUCAUAACGGAGGAUUUCGUGCCGUUCAUACGGGCACAGCAUUCCCAGGUGCCCUUGAACUCAUUACUCAGGUGAUAGAACCAAUUGUUUGAUAAUUGCCUCAGUCAGUGAGACUACAUGAAGUCAUUAAUAAUAUAACGGCGAUGUAACACUGCAAAGAGAGAGGUUUGAAAGUUGCGGUUGCUGGGUUGCCAUUGUCGAUGUAAGAUAAUCUAUCAUGAUUUAUGCAUUGAAGUCCAUGAGAUAUCUGUCUGUAAUGCUUCCUUGUGCUUUAUCUUAACACAAAAUCUUGUUUAGUCUAAAGCAGAAACUUUUCUGGAAUACAUUUCAGUCACAUCAUGAUGUUUCCUUGGCAUCCAAUGUCCAUGUCACCAUUUGUAUACCCGUUUCUUUUUGUCAAAUUAUUGUGGAUGUUGUAGAGAAAUUGUGGAUUACAUGAAAACCUGCCUCUACAAAGUCUUUUUUUUUUCUUAAUAAAAGAAUGAUAUAUUAAUGCUUUUGCAAAUUUAUCCAAUACAUCCGUGCUGCUGUAGAUAGUUGGAAAAUGUUCUGAUGUGCUGGUUUGAACUUUGAAUGUUGGUCAGAACACAAUCAAGUUGAAAGACUUGAGAGUAUGGGGCUUGUUGAUAUUAUAGUGUUUUGCAUGAGUAUAGUCUGCCUCCCAGACUCCAUAGGUCUAACCCUCAAUUGAUUUUAAAGAUUUGAGAUAUGAUUGUAUCUUUCACCAUGCUAGUAUUGGAGAACUUAUAUUCUUAUUAUUUUGUUAGCCUUCUAUCACGUUCGAUGCAAUUUGUGUCAGCAGAUGCUUUUGAGAAUUUGAAACCAGCUCCUGACAUUUUCUUGGCUGUAUCUAGGAUCUUGAAUGUGCCAGUAGUGAGACAUACUAUAUUGUUUGCAAUUUCAUUCUGUCUAUUAAGUUGCUAGAACUUUUGAUGCAGAAAUUAUUGUAAAUCAUAAAAAUUAUGAAAGCAACUCACAGAUUUUCUAUUAUGCAUUUCUUUUGUGCAAGUUAUUCAUAAUAAUUGUGGCAAAGUACGUUAUUCAUAACAGAGACACAAUUCAAGAGAAUACCAAGAAAUAACUUAGUCUUAGUCAUUGACAGUUUAAUGAAUUACAAAAAACUGAAAUUUGUCAGCUUCAGCUUGUGCAUUGAUUGGACUGCUAAUAAAGCUAAUUUUUGUCAUAAAGCUAACUUUCUCCAUCAUAUUGUCGCCAUAAAGCUAGUAAAUUUUGUCAGCUGAAUUCAGUUUUUCUGUUCUUGAAAAAAAAUGAAUUUCAUAGGAUUUCUCAGAAAUCAGUUGAGUUUGCCUUUGUUUGAUUUCUAUUUUCUUAAGUAAAAUGCUUUGUUAAGUUCCUAUGAGUAUUGGGAUGAUUGUUUCGGUAUUUUUUUCCAUUAGGUGAGGUUGAGGUUUAAUCCUCAUAGAUGGAGCACGUAUGGAGCACUUUACCCCAUAUAGUGGGUGUGAAAGGAUUUAGUUUUAGUCCAAUGGGAUAAGGAUACCUGUGUUUUUUUUCAAAAAAAAAACCUUUGCUAAUUUUUGCCGUGUAUUGUUAUUGAAGAUGCACUAGCUGGAGCACAAGCUGCAAAAGCUGCAUAGAUGAGGUGAAUUUACAAAUAACUCAUGUAUUUGGUUUCAUUAGGACAUCUCUAGUGAUUAAUUCUUUCAAAAUAAGUGUGGAAAUGGGUUUCAAGAUUGUCUCAACACAGGUGAAGGCAUUAGAUUCUUUCCCUCUGUGCUAAUCUACUGCAUUUUUCACACACGUUUCACUUUUGUAUUCCAAUGAUUUCUAAUCUAUGGCAUUCUGUACUUCUUGUAGAUGCAUAGCUGUGAAAACUACAUUUUCAGAAGAGACUCUGAAGAAUGUUAGUCCAUCCCUUAUCAGAAAUGAUAGAGGAAGUGUUUCACUUUAUUAUUUUCUAAGUGGUGGAUCUGAUGUAUAUACUAUGUAGUUCCGAAGAUGUCACUUUGUACCUCAAUAAUUUGGAACAAUCCUCGUAUUUCAAUAACUCCAAGUCUCCAAAACAGGUUUUGCAAUGGAUUUCCUUUGUAUUGAGAAAUUUUCCUCCAUCAAAACUAAGGUGCUCCCUUACACAUUAGCAAUUGAGUUUACAAUUGUUGUUUUAGACUUUUAUUAAGAUAGAAAACAACGAUACAUAGUUAUUAAAAUCAAAUCUAAUGCCUUAUUAAAAUCAAAUCUAAUGCCUAAAAUAUCAAAUCUAAUGCUUAUUUGUAUUCUGCAGUUUUCAAAGCCAUCUGGAAUCAUUGAGGCUGAAAAUGGUGAUUCUCUUUCCCAUCAUAUGCAAAUGCAAUAAACAAUUUUUCACAAUAAUGAAACAUAAAAUGCGUCCCUAUUUCCUUUGUCAUUGCCCAACAUUUGCUAAUUAUUGACAGUGUUUAGCUAUAUUAUCUUUCUUAAUGAAAUAGGUUCAGUUUCAUCAAAUACAGGCCUUGCCUUUGGAGGCUACUAUGCCGAAUAAAUUCAAUCAACACCUACAAUCUAUUGACAUAUCAGUUAAAAUAAAUUGGAUGGUAUGUGAUGAUCUGAGAUCCAGAAAAUAGGGUUUUACAAUGGGUUUGUGAACUUAGGAAAAAAACUUAGACCUAGAGGGGAGUAUCUCCCCUUUUAUCUGUUUCCUCCGUCUGCUAAUGACGUAUAACAGACUGGCUAUCACUGGGCCACCUGUCCCUGCUACAUUGAUACGGAUGUAUGAGGAAAUCAGAUCCCUGCCCUGUGCGUAACGGCCUCUAAUUCUCCCUGGACACGCAUGCGGAUGGAUCGGCAAGACAGGCGGGUCGGUCUUCUUCCUGGUUCCGAACUAGUCCGGGAGAUAAGAUUAGAACUGAGUCCAAAGAGGAUCUGUUUGUUGGGCCGAAAGAGCUGAGCCGGCCUGAUUGAAGAAUCUGAUUGGAGCCUAGUCUUUAAGUUGAGCGGGCUGGAUCUGGUUCUUGGAGGAGACUUAGAAGCCUUCAGAUUAUGGGUUAUCCUAAUGAGCCUGGCCUUAGACCGGGGUGAAGAAAUCCAGCGGUCAUCAGUAUGAUGUAUAAUGCCCUUCUAUAUAAGUUGAAAAUGCAUUUUGGUUCUUGAGCCUUUCAUCUAGCCUUCUACUAGCAAUGACGUAUAACAGACUGGCUAUCACUGGGCCACCUAUCCCUGCUACAUUGAUACGGACGUACGAGGAAAUCAGAUCCCUGCCCUGUGCGUAACGGCCUCUGAUUCUCCCUGGACACGCAUGCGGAUGGACCAGCAAGACAGGCGAGUCGGUCUUCUUCCUGGUUCCGAACUAGUCCGGGAGAUAAGAUUAGAACUGAGCCCAAAGAGGAUCUGUUUGUUGGGCCGAAAGAGCUGAGCCGGCCUGAUUGAAGAAUCUGACUGGAGCCUAGUCUUUAAGUUGAGUGGGCUGGAUUUGGUUCUUGGAGGAGACUUAGAAGCCUUCAGAUUAUGAGUUAUCCUAAUGAGCCUGACCUUAGACCGGGGUGAAGAAAUCCAGCAAUCAUCAGUAUGAUGUAUAAUGCCCUUCUAUAUAAGUUGAAAAUGCAUUUUGGUUCUUGAGCCUUUCAUUCUAGCCUUCUACUAGCAAUGAACACGCGUUGAAGGCUCUUCUUGAUUAUUUGCAGGAAGACUUAUUAGCUGAUACGAACAUCUGUGUUUUUUGAUAUUUAGUCUUGAACAAGAAAGAAGAUGAACUUCUUACUUUGUAGCUGUAAGGAGUUCAGCCUCCAACACUAAAAAUCCAAUCCUGGAAACGUCUCAGGACGGGAUCAUCUGCUGAAACACAGACUAUUACAAUUGAUGGCAGUUCAUCUAGGGAAAGAGACCUUUAUUUCACAAUUUAAUUACCUAAUGAGUACCAUUUUUCAAAGGUCAAUGGACCAACCUUUUUGAAUAGAGUCCUAUAUUAUGCUCCUGCUAUUGCCAUAUGAUUAGUGAUCUGAUCCUUUUAUAUUUACUAAUUUGCCAUAUUAAACAAUUUCCAUGCGAGUUAAAUGCAGGAGGCACACAGUAAGUUUAUAUGAUUCCCUUCUGUUUGAAGUAUCGUUUGAAGAAAGUUUCAGACUCUACGCCAUUACAAAUCACACUUGCUUAUGUUAUGGACCCAAAGCAUUAACAAACAGCUUGCAGCUGCCAGUUAGCCGCUGACAGAAAUGCUGCAAAAAUACAUUAGAAGGCCAACAUGAGAAGGUUUAAGCUAGCCACAAAGUAUAGUUCAUAAAAACAUUUUCAUUACUGAAUUAAUAGCAAUAUAUGCAGCAGAUUGAAGUUUAGGAUGACCAAGUUCGGAAUAAAUCGAAAACUGAAAUUUUAGUAUUUGUAAAAAUUGAAUCGAAUAUUUUUUUUUUUUAUGUUUGGCAUAUGCAAAGGGAUCGGUAGCAAUAAUUAUUUGGUUAAUUAUUGUUAUUGUUAUUUUUGUUAUUUUAAAGGAAGAAAAGGACAGAUUAGCCCCUA
Long non-coding RNA from Manihot esculenta (cassava), 4820 nucleotides. RefSeq lists it as uncharacterized. NCBI's taxonomy places the organism in Eukaryota, Viridiplantae, Streptophyta, Magnoliopsida, Malpighiales, Euphorbiaceae. The record is from RefSeq and is a predicted model, not a curated record. The transcript has 3 exons.